RNAcentral lists this long non-coding RNA (1782 nucleotides) under Zea mays. Its description in RNAcentral is "long non-coding RNA (ZMAY_LNC005778)". Lineage: Eukaryota; Viridiplantae; Streptophyta; Magnoliopsida; Poales; Poaceae. The record is from RNAcentral.
CCUCUAUUCAAGGCAUACUCAAAUGGUGUUUAAGUCCACUCAAGUAAAACACCACACUUCAAUUUGCAACAUCGUUUCUCAAAAUAAAAUAAAGACCAUGAAAAUUUUAGCCAAAUUGCAUGGGAGACCUGUCCAAACAUAGGUUAACAUUAUAAGGCAUAUUUUUUAAACCAUGCAAAAAGUUGGAAUAUAAAGAAUUCAAUACAAUAGAUAACCUUUUAAACUACAAAUGAUGUUUCAUGAUGUCAAGGGCAUUGUAUUAGCACGAGAGGGUAUUAGAGUACAACUAGUGGAUGAAGACGUCAUUGGGCUAGCUAAUGACCUUUUGUGAUUCUAGGUUUCCUAUAAUCCCCUCUAGGUUUCCUAUAAUCCCCUCUAUUCAAUAUGCCACAUCGUUUCUCAAAAUAAAAUAAAGACCAUGGAAAAUUUAGCCAAAUUGCAUGAGUGAAUUGUCCAAACAUAGGUUAUGGUUGUAAGGCACCUUUUGUGACUAGCUAAUAUGCCACAUCGUUUCUCAAAAUAAAAUAAAGAUGUUAUUGGACUAGCUAAUGACCUUUUGUGAUACCAGGUUUCCUAUAAUCCCCUCUAUUCAAGGCAUACCUAGACGGUGUUUAUGUCCACUGAAAUAAAACACCACAUAUUAAUAUGCCACAUUGUUUCUCAAUAAAACAAAGACCAUGGAAAAUUUAGCCAAAUUGAGUGAGAGAACUGUCCAAACAUAGGUUAAAGUUGUAAGGCACCUUUUUUCCACCAUACAGUUGCUAAAAAGUUGGAAUAUAAAGAAUUCUAAUCAAUAGAUCACCUUUUAAACCACAAAUGAUGUUUCCAUGAUAUUGAGGGCAUUGUAUUCACAUGAGAGGGUAUUAGAGUACAACUAGUGGAUGAAGACAUUGUUGGGCUAGCUACUGACCUUUUGUGAUACCAGGUUUCCUAUAAUCCUCUCUAUUCAAGGCAUACCUAGGUGGUGUUUAUGUCCACUCAAGUAAAACACCGCACAUCAUUAUGCCACAUCGUUUCUCAAAAUAAAAUAAAAUAAAGACCAUGGGAAAUUUAGAAAAAUUGCGUGAGAGAUCUGUCCAAACAUAGGUUAUAGUUGUAUGUCACCUUUUUUCCACCAUACAGUUGUGAAAAGGUUGUAAUACAAAGAAUACAAAACAAUAGAUCACCUUUUAAACCUCAAAUGACGUUUCUAUGAUAUUGAGGACAUUGUAUUCAGACGAGUGGGUAUUCGAGAACAACUAGUGGAUGAAGACGUUAUUGGGCUAGCUAAUGACCUUUUGUGAUACUAGGUUUCCUAUAAUCCCCUGUAUUAAAGGCAUACCUAGAUGGUGUUUGUGUCCACUCAAGUAAAACAUCGCACAUCAUUACGCCACAUCGUUUCUAAAAAUAAAAUAAAGACAAUAGGAAAUUUAGCCAAAUUGGGUAAGAGAUUUGUCCAAACAUAGGUUAAGGUUGUAAGACACCUUUUUCCACCAUACAGUUGCUAAUAAGUUGGAAUAUAAAGAAUUCAAAACAAUAGAUCAUGUUUGAAACAAAAAAUAGUGUUUCUAUGAUAUUAAAGGCAUUGUAUUCGCACGAGAGGGUAUUAGAGUACAACUAUUUGAUGAAGACGCUAGUGGGCUAGCUAAUGAUCUUUUGUGAUAACAGGUUUCCUAUAAUCCCCACUAUUCAAGGAAUACUUAAACGGUGUUUAGGUCCACUCAAGUAAAACGCCACACAUCAAUUUGCCACAUCGAUUCUCAAAAUAAAAUAAAGAUGAUAAAAAGUUGGAAUAUAAAGAAU